RNAcentral lists this non-coding RNA (23 nucleotides) under Rattus norvegicus (Norway rat). Lineage: Eukaryota; Metazoa; Chordata; Mammalia; Rodentia; Muridae. The record is from RNAcentral.
UAGAGGUGAUCUAGCCUGUGAGU